AAACUCAAAGGAAUUGACGGGGGCCCGCACAAGCGGUGGAGCAUGUGGUUAAUUCGAAGCAACGCGCAGAACCUUACCAACCCUUGACAUGGAUAUCGUAGUUACCAGAGAUGGUUUCGUCAGUUCGGCUGGAUAUCACACAGGUGCUGCAUGGCUGUCGUCAGCUCGUGUCGUGAGAUGUUCGGUUAAGUCCGGCAACGAGCGCAACCCACAUCCCUAGUUGCCAGCAGGUCAAGCUGGGCACUCUAUGGAAACUGCCCGUGAUAAGCGGGAGGAAGGUGUGGAUGACGUCAAGUCCUCAUGGCCCUUACGGGUUGGGCUACACACGUGCUACAAUGGUGGUGACAAUGGGUUAAUCCCAAAAAGCCAUCUCAGUUCGGAUUGGGGUCUGCAACUCGACCCCAUGAAGUCGGAAUCGCUAGUAAUCGCGUAACAGCAUGACGCGGUGAAUACGUUCCCGGGCCUU
RNAcentral lists this ribosomal RNA (466 nucleotides) under uncultured Roseovarius sp. RNAcentral describes it as "bacterial SSU rRNA". It matches the Rfam family "Bacterial small subunit ribosomal RNA", at positions 897 to 1382 of the family's 1533-position model. Lineage: Bacteria; Pseudomonadati; Pseudomonadota; Alphaproteobacteria; Rhodobacterales; Roseobacteraceae. The record is from RNAcentral.